Molecule: non-coding RNA, 16680 nt
Organism: Podarcis lilfordi (Lilford's wall lizard)
Lineage: Eukaryota; Metazoa; Chordata; Lepidosauria; Squamata; Lacertidae
Source: the annotation of a GenBank genome assembly
AAGAAAGGUCCAAGAUGUAUUCACAUAAUCUCUGCUGUUCAUCUAAUAUGCACGCUGGCUCAAAUCCUCCAUGUAUUAUCCUCUUGGUUUUGCUUAGUCUUUACACAGGAAAGCCUCCCACAGAAAUAAAAACUGAGCAAGAAACCUCAAAACUGGAUGCACUAUUAAUUUUCCUCAGAUUUUCAUACAACUUGAAAGAUUGUUUUGUUUCAAGCCUGCCCUCUACCCACUUCCCCAACCCAGCAGGGCUGAACAAAAAUAUUUUUAGCAUGUGACAGCUAAGUUGAAAUGCAUUGAUUCUUUUUUAAAAAAGAAAACCUGGGUCAAUUUGCUACAAUUACAUUUAUUUUCGUGUAAUUGAGCAAAUUGUGGUGUCCAAACUGCUGGUUACUGAUUAAAGCCUGCAACUGAUCAGAUGGCAGAGAUCAGAGCAGCUAAGGAAGGAUAAAUGCUGGUGUUUGAUCUUCUAUUGCAGUGGUAUUUUGAACUUUCGGGGAACCCUUUUUCACAGCUCAGAAAUGAAACCCUGUGGAGGAUUGUGGGAGAAUGUUCCAGAUGGGGACCACAGGAUUGGCUCAACCGUUUUUUGUUGGUUAGAAUUCAGCACCUCAGAAUCCUCUUCAAUAUCUUUAAAAAGUCUGGGGUGGACUCAAUAAAUCAUGUAGGCAGUGAGUGUGUCCUUUCACUUUGUUCUUAUAGAGAGCUCCUGCACAGGUAUCUCCUUAUUAACGUUUAGGGAUCUUCCUGUCUGUUUCACUUCAGACUGAUCACACGGGCACACACUUGUCCUCAGCAGUAUCCUGAAAAGCCUCUCUCAGCAGCCAUUCUCCUCACAACAGAGAGAAGGAACAGAAAGCAGUUUAAAAAACGAGAGUUACUGGAAUAACAAUCACAACAGAAUGGAAUGCCUCCCUCAUGUGACUCACAGUCAGCCAAUCACAGGAGAGCUACUGCCAAAGGAAAAAACCUCAUGUUAAAAAUACACAGCAGUUCAACAUAAGCAAACAUCCCCAUUUCUGGAAAUUAAACCAUUAUCCUUAACACGACGCACUUCCACUGCUGGACGCGGUUGAAAAUGGCUUCUCCAAGUGAACCAGGAAGUGACCUUGCCAGGCAACAGAAUGACUCUUCUUUUCUUAUCAGUGCGGCUGUGAUCUCCUGGGUGGCAUGGACACCAUUAGGCAGUUGAAUGUACAAGUUUACAUGUUUACUCCAUCUGUUUCCCUCCUUCCCACCCCCACUUUGCGCAGCCCCGGGCUCUGGCAACCCACACUAAGCCACUGAGUUGCAGUUCAACAACUUGUGCAUACUUUAGCUGCUUCUGCCUCUAAGGGUAGCCAUUAGUAUCUCCCAACAGAGAAGGGGCUGAUAAGCUUCUAUGGAACCCUAACCUCCCACCCACCUCACCAGCCUUCCUUAAAAAACUCACUGUCCUUCCCACUGCCUUCCAGGAGAAGCUUCCAACAACAGUGGUGGGUUGUACGACAAGGGAGAAGGAGAGCGGGAGGACAAUAAAAAAAGCAAGACGGGCAUAAAUGCACACGGUAGUUGGGCCAAAAUCAGACAUGGACAUCUGGACCACCCGGGCCCUGCUUAAGAAAUGCAGCAUCAGUCACGCCUCCCGAGUGGGAAGAAUCAAUUCCAUGUUGCUGCCUGCAGAUCUAACAUUAACUCGCCCAUCCGAUGUCUUGGUAAGAUAAUUCACCCUUCUCCGCCGAAGGUUGCAUCGAGCCUUUCCCCUGAAAAUUGAUAUUCUCCACCUGUCAAGGCUGUAUUUAUGAUGAGGAUAAAAAUAAUAAUGUCUUCCUGCAGGGGAAUAAUAAGAUGUGGAGCAUUCAGAAAACCUGGCAGAGAAGUGUGAUUUUGGAACAGUGGAGGGCACUCCCUCAUUCACUGUAAUACCAGGAGUUGUAGCCCACUUUGCUGAGGUAAGCAGCGGUGUUUUGUCUGAACCCAGAGGGUUCGGGCUUCUCAUUGUAGAGCCAAUGUUGGGUAGUGGUUCAAUCUAUCAGAUUAAGAGCUGAGGAAACUCUACCUGAGCUCUCCAUUCAGCUUCAAUGCCCUUGGGCUAGUUAUUAUUUCUUAACCUAAGCUGCCUCACAGGGUUGUUGUGAAGAAAGCAUUGGGGAGAGAACCAUGUAAUCCGCCUUGAGCUCCUAUGGGGAAAGGGGGACAUAUAUUAAUUGAGGGAAUGUGACAGGAAAGUUUUAAGACAGAUUCAGUUAUGAGUCACACCAAAACAAACACGUGGAUCUUGAAAACAGUAAAUUCCACUGAAUAACCAAGGUUGGAGAGAAAUGAAUGCAAGCCUACCUAAUUUACUUCAUGCAUGAACCAAACGCAAACCAAAACGCAGCUAUCUGUCUGAAUUUGUGCUUCUCUAAAUUUUGCAGUUUUUCUCCAACCAAAAAUAUGCAUUUAAAAACCCCAUUUUAGGGGAAAGUGUGCACAAAAAUACAUAAAAUGUGUGUGUGUGUGUGUGUGUGAAAAUUUGCAACAUGCAGUAUAUCAGAUGAAAAUGUAUGUCAGGAGAAAUAUACACAAAAAGUACAAAUUUGCAUGUGGACUUUUUUAAAGGGAAUUCAUAUACUGAUGCAGUAAUGGGGUGGGGUGGAGAGCUUAAAUAAAAAACGAAAAAACUGAAAGAACCCAAAAUUGACAGAUCUGUCCACCCCUAGAAAGAAAAAGACUUGGCAGCAGCUGAGUUAGCUGACCAUGGUCCUUUUAUUCUAGUGGGCAAACCUUGGGCUUCACAGUGAAAACAAUCUCUCCCUUUCUCUUUGUCCCGUUGAGAGUUGCUCGAGGCCCCUAUUAAUGUGGUCCCCCACUGCUUUUGGCUCAGGCCCAUCUCUGUAGGCCAAUUCAGCAAAGGAAGAGGGUUGAAAAGAGAUCUGGGGAGGAGAAAGCUCAGAAGGCCUGCCAGGGGGGAGGAGGAGAACAGAGGCUUCUCUUCUGCCUUCGGGGGCUGCUACCUGUGUGGGUGUUUUGUGUGUGAGCGUUUGAGCGCAUUCGGAUGCCAGCACAUGCAUCUCACUGCAGGGAGGUGAUCAUAGGCAUAAUGAGAGAGGCUGGCAUUGCAAACAGCCAAGUGAGAAAGAAAGGGCAUCUGUGGGCACAGCCAGCACCACUGUAGAUCAGAACAUUCUCCAAUAUAGCAAUGGUUGCCAUUUGUUGAAACAGUGAGGGGAAUGGAUAGAGCAUCAUAUUAUAGGACCAUACAAGGGAUGCGGGUGGUGCUGUGGGUUAAACCACAGAGCCUAGGACUUGCCGAUCAGAAGGUCGGUGGUUCGAAUCCCCACGACGGGGUGAGCUCCCGUUGCUCGGUCCCAGCUCCUGCCAACCUAGCAGUUUGAAAGCACAUCAAAGUGCAAGUAGAUAAAUAGGUACUACUCCAGAGGGAAGGUAAACGGCGUUUCCGUGCACUGCUCUGGUUCGCCAGAAACAGCUUAAUCAUGCUGGCCACAUGACUGUACGCCGGCUCCCUCAGCCAAUAAAGCAAGAUGAGUACCACAACCCCAGAGUCGGCCACGACUGGACCUAAUGGUCAGGGGUCCCUUUACCUUUACCUUUACAAUGGAUCAAGAGUUCAGGCUGCCAUCUCCUCAUGGAUAAAUAUGGAACUGGAGAGCAGGAAACUGGUAAACUGGCCACAUUCACACCAUACUUUUAUAGCACUUUGAACAGUCAUGGCUUCCACCAAAGGAUUCUGGAAGCGGAGGUUUAUAGAGAGUGCUGAAAGUUAUUACGAGAUCCCUAUUCCCCGCACAAAGCUACAAUUCCCAGAGUUCCCUGUGAAGAGGGAUUGAUUAUUAAGCCACUCUGGGAAUUGCAGCUCAGUGAGGGGAACAGGGGUAUCCUAGGGACUCACAGCAGCCUUACCAAACUACAGCUCCCAGAAUUCUUUUGAGAGAAGCCAUGACUGUUUAAAGUGGUAUCAUAGGGUUUUAAAUGUAUGGUGUCAAUGUGGCCUUGGUCUCCUACAAAGCAAUUAUCCUACUUAGCAAUUGCAGUCUUCUCGGGGACCGGCAAACAAAAUUACAACCUUAUGCACUAUCACCACAAAGCAACUUACCUUUCUUGGGCAUUUUAAGCACAUUUACAGUGUGUAUCAUUCAAUGAGUGUACAGUCUAUGUGCCUGUUUUCACAGAUAGUGGAGCUGUAGAAAUAAACACAAACACUUGCACAUGUGUAGAGACAGCUUGUACCUGUGUUUAGUGCAACGUGUGAACGAAUCUUUACUGUUGUGCUUCGAUGUCUGACGAAUUUCCUCUCCCUUCUUUUUGUUGUUGUUAAAAGCUAUUAGCCAUGACAGUUGAUAGAGCUGGCUCAGUUGGUAGAGCAAGAGACCCUUAAUCUCAGUGCUGUGGGUUCGAGCCCCACAUUGGCCCAAAGAGUCCUGCAUUGCAGGGGGUUGGACUAGAUGACCCUUGUGGUCCCUUCCAACUCUAUAAUACUUGUAUGAUACUUGUAUGAUACUUCCAGUUUAAAUGGAACUUCCAGGCUCUGAGCAGUAUAUGUCAAUUGCAAGCGACACACAAGUUGUACUUGUGUCCUGCUUCUGUCUGAUCCACAGGGCCCUUAUGUUUUUGAAACUGGAGACUGCACAAUUUUGCCUUCAGGGAGAAUAUGGACAAACUUCAUCCACAGCUAUCUCCAUGUACUUGGACAAAACUCCAGAAACACAAGCAGACCAUAAUAAUGAUGAAUGAGUUGGGGAUAUCCUAUUUCAAGAGUAGAGAACCAGAUGGUAUUGGACUCCAGUUCCCAUCAGUCCCUGCCAGCAUGGCCAAUGGUCAAGGAUGAUGGAAGCUGUGGUCUAAAAACAUCUUGGGGGGGGGCAGAGUUUCUCCCAUUCCUGCCCUAACCAGAUCUGUUUCACCUGCUUUAACCUGCAAUCCUCUAUCCACGUACUCAAGCGUAAGCCCUACUUAAUGAAACUUACUUCUGAACAGACAUGUCCAGGAUUGCACCGUGAAUUAGGUUACAAAUGGAGAAUCAGCUUUUGCUGUUUGCUGCCGCGGCCUAUUGUUAUGUCUAUCAGGAAGGGGACCUGUGUGUUCCUAAACAAGGUGGGAAGAGACGUCCCUUCGUCCCAAGCGCCUGUUCAAUUAUAGAGAUGACCUUUGAAAGCCCCGAGCAACCAAGCUGAACGGAAGAGGAUGUGAAAGGUUUGGGAUUCUGUUUAUACAAAUGAUCACAUUUCAGAUCCCACUGGUGGCAUGAACCAGGAGGAGGAGGGAAAUAGAUGAUGCAAGAGGGGACUGAGAGGAGAUGCGAUAGCCACCUUCAAAUGUCUGACGGGCUGCCCCAUGGAAGAUGGAGCAAGAUGUUUUCUCCUUCUCUGGGAGUUAGGGCUUGACCCAAUGGCUUCAAGUUACAAGAAAGGAGAUUCCGACUAAACUGAACAUCCUCUUAGUUCAGUAUUGCCUGCACUGACUGGUAGGGGCUGUCCAGGAUUUCAGGCAGGGGAAAUUCUCACCAAGCUGAAAAACAACAGCAUGGCAAUAGAUCCAGGACCACAGAAAGAUUUGGAUUUUUAAUAUAUUUGGAUCUGUUUUAACAGCUGCUUUAUGGUUAAACACAGCCAAGGAGCAAACACGGAGAGUUAUUUUACUGUUUCAUUAUUGAUGGCUAGAUUGCCUAUGAAUUCCUUUCUUUAGGCAGACUGGCAAUGGCAGCGCCUGGAACCACAGCUCAGCCCAGGCUCUUUCUGGCUAGCUGCACUGCUAAAAAAACCCAAACAUAUUUCGCUGGAACGGUAUGUCUGCAUGAUGCCGGCUCGAGCUGGGAAGGAGCAAUGGAGUCGACUGAUGGCCAUCAUUUGCAAAACAUCCAUCAAACUAUUAAAAGGGAGCCAAGAAGGUUCCCUUUGUCCAUGACAUUGCCUUUCUUUGUCCUGUGCCACAGUCCAGAAACAAGGCUGAAGCCCUCCCUCUGAGGCUUGUCACCAUCCUUCGGUGAUAUAUAAUUCUCUGUGAAGCGGCAAUUCUCAAAUCAAAGUGCCAAGGCUGUGUGUGUUAAGUAUAAUUGUUUACUUGACACUGAAAUGGGGAAUGACUAAAUGAUUAAACAACCAUUGUUGUUUUCUGCUAGCUAAAACGUGAGUGUUUAACCUUAGAUUAGGUGACAAAGGUAUUUGGUUGCAAAUUGCCAUCUUGGAAGAGUAGUGGCUAAGUCUUUGUUCUCAGGCUCUGUGAGAAUAAGAAGUGAUAAUGGAGUUCACUCAGGAGCAUGCAGCCUCAGAAAAAACGGAGGAUGCAAGGAUAGAGAUCUUUGAUUCUAGGUUUGUUUGGAAUUACCUUUUAUUUCUAAGAAGAUGAACCUGUGCCGGACUGGCACAAGAUAUUGUAUGGAAUUAUAUGGAUGUAUCUAUCUUUGAUGUUUUUGUCCCAUUCUGAAGAAAGUUCUGCAAGUAAAUCUUUGAAUUCAACUUAAGGGCCUUCACAGUGUUAUAUUUCCAAAAGGAGUUGGUUUUUAUGCAUACAGUCGCUUCAAGCUACACAAUAUUAAUAUCUGCAAUAGUUUGGAAUGAGAUUUUGGAGUAGUUGGGGACAGUAGUGGUUAAGUAUCACCAAAUCUGCGCAGUUAGAUCCAGCAGACACAGAAAGAGGGAAAUCCCAAAUGGGGCAGGCUAAUAUUUAUUAUUUCAGAGUCCAGAGAAGGGUGCAUUUUGAGCAAAGGGAUCUCUUCUUCAGGUGAAUAAACAAAUCCUAUACUCUUAUGAAUUAUGGUGCUGGAGGAGACUCUUGAGAGUCCCAUGGACUGCAAGAAGAACAAACCUAUCCAUUCUGAAGGAAAUCAGCCCUGAGUGCUCACUGGAAGGACAGAUCGUGAAGCUGAGACUCCAAUACUUUGGCCACCUCAUGAGAAGAGAAGACUCCCUGGAAAAGACCCUGAUGUUGGGAAAGAUGGAGGGCACAAGGAGAAGGGGACGACAGAGGAUGAGAUGGUUGGACAGUGUUCUCGAAGCUACAAACAUGAGUUUGUCAAACUGUGGGAGGCAGUGGAAGACAGGAGUGCCUGACAUGCUCUGGUCCAUGGGGUCACAAAGAGUCGGACAUGACUAAACGACUAAAAAACAACAACAUACUCUUCUACAGUGAAAUCUAAUAAAAAGAAACAUGCAGUUCUCAGUCACAGCCAGCGUGGAUGUUUACCUGCUGGGUUUUCUGCCUCUCAUGCAGAAAGGCACAGCUGUUCAGCUGAAGUGAGGUGAAGUAGCAUCUCUGGGUGCCAUUUUUGUUUAUGCAUCUAAAAUAUUUUUUACACCCCUUUACUUUAAAAGGCGGCUAAUACCACUAUCCAAACAACAACACCAUUUAAAAGCCAAUUACAAAGCUAACAGUGCAAUCUUACGCAUAGCUACUCAGAAAUAAAUUGAGUUCAGUGGAGCUUAUUCUCAAGUAAAUGGAUAUUAGGAUUGAAAUCUAAACAGCACAAAGCAGCAAGCUAAAGCCUAUUUUAUAAAAAUAGCAGCGCGGGGGGGGGGGGGAGGCAAUAACAUCAAUUAGCACCAUGUGUCAACAACCUUAAGCAAUAUUGACGGGUCUAUCAAAGCAAGAUGUAAUCAGCAGUGCUGGCUGGUACCCAUUGUUAGGCUGGAACACUGGGAGGCAGACAGCAGGGGGCGCCAGAGCCAACAAUAGGUGGAAUCAACUCAUUCUAGCUCCCCACCCCAACCUUCCUCCCUGCCGAAUUCUACAAAGUGAAAAGGUGGUCACUCUAAUCAACCAGCCUGCAGUGGUUCUUGACCACAGACCUUGCUGAAGAUCUUCUCCUUAAAUGAUUUCAUAAGGGAGUGAGCAAGGCGUAACUACCCUCAGAGACUUUGUGUGGCUAAUGAAUACGUCUCCCUCCUUGAUCACAGACAGAUAGACCCUGGAACACCUCGAAGGGCCUCCAGUGGUGAUCUUCUAUGUGGGUCAAUUUUGCAGUGGUCAAGCUGCAGUGUAAGAAGCGCUAAGUGAUUUGUCUGAAUCCACUAACAUGAACUCUAGGGCAAAAUCCUUUGCUAAACUGUGGGAAAGCACUUGCGAGAGAGAUGUAUUACUUGGAGCUAUUUUCCCUGUCCCACUCCCGCCCCCCCAAGCAGGAAACAGAGGUGGUCUUGGACGUACCUCUGGAAUAAACCAACUCGUGAUUGUUAUUCUUCUCUAUGGACGGGGAGUGGGGAGCCGAAAGCAAAGACAAAUGAAAUUGCUGCCGACCUCAAAAAUCCAGCCCAAUGCAUGAAUUGAAAUCAGAACUGCUCUUUGGAGUCUUGUAAGGAACUAGGCUUUCUCAAAAAAUAAAAAAUAAAAAUCAUUUCUAAUUGCAGUUCUUUAAAAAGUAUUUUUUUGAAGCACUUCAACUGAAAGCACUUUAGCUGAGUGUUCAGAUGGGAACAGUGGAAAGCAUUAAAAGAAGAACCAACAGCCCCCUUUCAUCACUGGCCAAGAAGGGGACUGCAUCACCCAGGCAGUUUCCCAUUACACUUAGCAUAUAUGUUUAGGCUAAAUCCAGAUGGCAUCCCCUCCCGCAAGCUGAUUUAGCACAGCAAUGCUAAACUGGAAAUAUGGGGUGUGGGGGGGGAAUAUCUCAUAAAAGGCUUCUCUUUCUCUCUUUCCUGUAUAAUGUUUUUGAACAGCACACGAUUUAAAAAGAGGAGGAGGGGAAAGCCUCAUUAGCUUUCGAUGGCUGAAUUGGAGCAAACAGCAAUCCGGGGGAAACCCAAAUUGCCAUUUGUUCCGAUUCAGCGGUAAAGAGCGGGUUUUCAUGUCGAAAGCGCUGGGACAAAAAAACAAAAACAAAAGAGAAAGAAAGGUAGUCCAAUACGGAGCUUAAAGCGCAGGGCAAAAGAUAAGUGGGAAUGAGCCUGGCGUCUGCAGGAGCCCCCACCACCGCAAAGCGCAGCGAUCAGUUGGGUAUUUCUUUAUUAAAUUUGCACUGAAGGCAUGCACAGCUACAGCCUUUGACAAUUCAGUUAGAGCUUUAACGCAUGCAAAAUAACCACAGCAAGAUAACUGAUGAGAACACAAUCAGCGGCUAUGAGUCAAACUUCUGGCGUCAGGGGCAGCGUGUCUUUGAAUACCAGUUGCUGCAUAACAGGAGUAGGAGAGGGCUAUCGCAGCUGUGUUCUGCUUGUGGGCUCCCCCUAGGCAUCAGGGAUUGACAGCAUGAGAAGCAUAGCUGUCAACCGUCCCUUAUUUGGCGGGAAAGUCCCUUAUCCCAGCGCUGUGUCCCGCUGCUGUCCCUUAUUGAUGAUGUCCCUUAAAUUUCCUGGGUUUCAAAGGAAGCAGCUCCUCUCCCUGCCUGCCUGCUGGCCAGGGAGGAGGGAGGCUCCAACUGUGUUGCUUGGCUGCGUUGCUCACCCAAUAAGGAGUCUAAGAACGACUGGGGGGUGGAGCUUGCAUGCCUUGUGCCGAUCAAAUCGGCCGCGUUGCCUGGGGACUCGCCUUUGCUCAGCGCUUCCCAGCGGAGAGGUGACGGUGGUUUGCCGGGUUGCUGUGCUGUGGGAACCACCGCUUGAGGCUUCAUUUGGCUGCUGGCUGGGCUUUCUGCCUUUGGCUCGGAGGGGCUCAGAAGUCGAACAUACCUGUGCUCUGAAAAUCCCUUAUUUUGGUUGCUGAUCCCUUAUUUUCAAAUCUGUAAGUUGACAGCUAUGAUGAGAAGAGAGGGCUGGCCUACAUGGCCCCUUUGGCCUGAUCCUGCUUAAUAUACCGAGGGUUGGACUAGCCGACCCUCAGGGACACCCACCCAACUCUACGAUUCUGAGAUUCUAAGCACAACUAGAGCUUGAAUGUAACCCCACAGAGUGGUUUUGUCCGAACUCAAAAUCUGUUGGACGUAACGCAGAUUACUUCAUUCAGUAUGCUAAUUUAGUAUGGACUUAGGGUACAAAGCUCAAAGCUGAACAGGCUCGCUGAGAAUAACCCAUGGCAGCUUGAUGUUGUCAACGUAUCUGCAGCAAAAGUAACAGCCUCUCUGGGGCUUGCGCAUAAACAGUGUGCUAGAUCCCGCUGGCUGAUGAUGCGAGGCCAGCGGCAUCUCCCAGAAGUUCUGAGCACCUCGCGAGAUGUUUGUCCAGCGUGAGCAUGGCGCUUAGCCCAAAUCUGGACUGACAUCUCCUCUGCCUCUCCAGCGCCUUGCUCCCAGCACCAGACCACAAAUAUCUUUCCCACUCUCCGUUGCAGUGGAGGACGCUUCAGUUUUCGAGCUUGGAGAGAUGUGGUGAGCUAAGGGCAGGAAGGAUCUGUCAUUCAGAAUAAAAGCAAGGCUAGAGUUUCCAAAUCUAUUUUAAUUUCAAAUUACUUUUCUUAAUAUUGAUUGGGGGGGACAGAAGAAACCCCACUCUCUCUCUCUCUCUCUGCUUGUUGCUUCCAAACCAGGAACGUGCAGUUGAGAUUUUUUCCUUGCACAAAAUGUACAGUUUUAGUCCUUUUGCUAGGCUUGCUUCCUCUUACUUCCCAAUAAGAUGCAUGGAAUUAAUGCCCAUGCCAGGUGAAAGCAGCAGUUUUCAAACAAACCGGGCAGCUUUCAUGAUGCUCAGCAAAACCUGCAGCGUGUUUUUAAGCACAAGAAAGAGGCGAAGAGAAGAAGAGGAAAAUGCCCUCCCUUUUACGUGCUAAGUCAAUGCUGCAAUUAUCCCUGGAGAUGCACAUGAGUGAUGAACUUCAACGGCUAGGAGGCCUUUUUCUUGCAAUUAUAAAGUGUGCCAGCUUUGGGGAGGGGAGAGCGAGCGAGUGAGCAGUUAACCUUUCCUUUGUGUGGUUUCGUUCCCCCUCAUUGCAUUUACAUUGGCCUUGAAGAGCUGGGACAUUUUGCAGAUGGCUUAGGGUCUAUAAAUUCUUAUUGAAACCAGGGCAAGCCAAGUAUAACAGGUAGCGAUCCAGACUUGUCUAAGACGGGAUAAACUCCAGCUAAGCAUGUAAAUAAUAUUUCAGGUCCUUUUCAGCAUGUAAACACAAUGCAUUGAGCCAGGUCCCCUUCAAGCCCUAUUCGCUUUCCCCCUAUUGUUAUUCUGUAACGGCCUCGCUCACAAAUCACAGUAAACCGUAGUUAAUGGCUUGCCGUGAACACAUUGAUCUGGCCGUUUUGCUCCUCCCCGCUAGCACGAGGGAGGAAUAAACCAUGAUCCCUGGCUUAGUGUUAUGUCUGAACUGGGAAUCGUGGUUUGCUUCACUCCAAACAAAGUGCAACCUGCAGCCAAAGUUUGUUCUUGGCUUACAGAUCAUAGUUUGAGUGAAGUAAUCCCUGGUUUGGACAUAAGGUUAAGCCAGGGAUCAUGGUUUGUUUCUCCAGUGCGCUAGCAGGGAGGAGCAACUUGGCUCAGAUCAGCAUGGAAAGCUAUUAACUAUGGCUUACCGCGAUGUGGAUUAAUGCACAGAAUCACAGUAUCGCAGAGUUGGAAGGGACCCACAGGUCAUCUAGUCCAACCCCCAAACCUCCAAGGAAAGAGAGUCCAUGAACUAGGGUGGGUUGCUUGAAUCUUUCUUUUUUUAUUAUUAUCAUAACAAGACAAUGAGAGGAAGCUCUGACUUAAGAAAUUAAGGGAUUGAUCCACUGGACAUUCCCCCUCUGCAGACACUAUGCAUAAGAGCAGCUCCCAUUCAUUUCAAUAGGAUUUUCACAUGACAGUUUCUUGAUCAAUUCCACAGAAUAACAAAUCAAGAUCGGGAUUAGUUUGCUGCUCCUAAAUCACAGGUGUGAGGCAAGAAACAGAGUAACUGGGGCAUGUGUGUCCAACUAAGAUGCAAUGCAGUGCUUAAAGUGUUGAACUAAAGGUAAAGGUAAAGGGACUCCUGACCAUUAGGUCCAGUCGUGGCCGACUCUGGGGUUGCGGCGCUCAUCUCGCUUUAUUGGCCGAGGGAGCCAGCGUACAGCUUCCGGGUCAUGUGGCCAGCAUGACUAAGCUGCUUCUGGCGAACCAGAGCAGCGCACGGAAACGCCAUUUACCUUCCCGCCAGAGUGGUACCUAUUUAUCUACUUGCACUUUGACGUGCGUUUGAACUGCUAGGUUGGCAGGAGCAGGGACCAAGCAAUGGGAGCUCACCCCAUCAUGGGGAUUCGAACUGCCAACCUUCUGAUCAGCAAGUCCUAGGCUCUGUGGUUUAACCCACAGCGCCACCCGUGUCCCUGGCAAAAAUUGUUGGACUAGGUCAGCUUAAAUCUCUGCUCAGCCAUGAAGUUGCCCAUUGGGGAGUCACUGCUUCUCAUAGCCCAGCCUGCAUCCUAAGAGUCGUUGUGAGGACAGACUUCCCAGAUCACACUGGUUCACUUAAGUGCAUCUGAAUACCACCUCCUGGAGAACACAAGGGGAAGGUUGCUAUUGAACUCAUAUCUGGCUUCUGGACAUCUCAAAGGCAUCUAUUUGACCAACGGGAGAACAGAAUGCUGGCCUGGGGGCAGGGGGGGCAGAUCCACACCCUGCAACCUGGGAGACCAGGGUCUGAAUACCCACUCUGCCAUUGGGCUCGUAGCUUGGCCUUGGUCCUCUUAGUGUUGCCUACCUCACAGGGAUGUUGUAAGGAUGAAACGAGGAGGUUAGGACUCAAUCCAAUAGAUUCAAAAAAGGAGAUUCCGACUCACCAGGAACAACUUUCUGACAGGAAGAGCUGUUUGACAGUGGAACGGACUCCCUCAGGAGGUUGUAGACUCUCCUUCCUCAGAGGUUUUAAAGGAGAGGCUGGAUGACCAUCUGUCAUGGAUGUUUUAGCUGAGAUUCCUACAUUGCAGGGGGCAGGACUAGAUGACCACCGGGCCCCCUUCCAACUCUACGGUUCUAUAACAAGCUGCAAAUUCUUUGGGGGAAGCCAUGUGCUAUAAAUUGCAUUUUAACCUGUAUUUUGAAUUGGUUUUUUUCCCACUUCCCUGCCCCCCCCCAUUGUGUUUUUUCUGUGAUUUUAUUGGUGUUAGCUGCCCUGAGCCUGGCUCUGGCCAGGAAGGGUGGGGUAUAAAUAAAAUUAUUAUUAUUAUUAUUAUUAUUAUUAUUAUAAAUGCGAUGUUGGGUGCGCUUUAAAAGUAUGGUGUGGAUCUGUCCCUAAAUCUUAUGUUCCUACAUUGACAUGGGGGGGGGGGAGAAAAGUGGUAUAGUCUGAAACUUUCUGUGAUAUCCAUAGCUGUCAACGUUCCCCUUUUUUAAAGGGAAAUUCCCUUAUUCCGAAUAGGAUUCCUCGCAAGAAAAGGGAAAAGUUGACAGCUAUGGUGAUAUCUGUAGGGUCAGAAACACAAUCGUCCAAAUUUGGGGACUUCCACCCACACAUACAGUAGGGAGCCAACAAUUUCACAGAUUUCGCGGCCUGCGCUGCUACACCUGCUUGGGUCAGGCAGGUGCCGGAUGAAAUCCUCCACGCAUCUAGAACAGGUUGGACCAGAAGUACAGGAGAAAUAAGGAAGUGCAGUCCUCUAAAUUAGAGCCACUUGGACGUAGCCUGAAAGGCAGUCAAUCUGCUGCGAUUGUGGAUUCGGUGGCAAUCACAGCAAGGAGGGAACGGCAAAAUGCUGGUGUCCUGGCAUGUUUCCAGAUGGGAACGCUAUAUUCUCCUCAGUUAAAUCCCUUCUCCAGUUUUAAUUUGAUAUGGCGUUCUUCUCACCCGUCGGUCUGAUGUGUUAUGGGGACAGCUGGCAUCCCUCAGUCAGACAUAUCAGCAUUAAAUGGCGGGUCGGGGUUUUGGGAGAGAGAGAGAAGAGAUGUUUUCCUCCUCAUAAAAUUCCCAUAUAGCUUUCUGUUUCAUGCGAUGAAAGGACCCAUGCAAAUUAAUUACCUUUUAGGCGUGUGCGUGUUAAGUUUUUGGCUCCACGUAAUACAAAGCACACAGGCUGCCUUGCAUGUGACUGCAACCAUUUCCAAACACCUGCGGUUUUUAAACCACUUUGAUUUUUGUCUUUAAGAAUAAUAUAAAUAAUGGGAAAGGGGAGGGGUGGGAUGGUUGCAAGGAAAUCUGACGACUGUGAGGCCCAAUUAAUGGAGGCUCACGGAUCAUAUUGGAAGCAUUGUAUGGGAAGGAUCAGACGCAGAACUUGAAAGUUAAGAUUGUUGUUAUUAUAAAACCAUUUACUCUGUAAUUUUUCAAGUUGAUGUGCUUAUUUUCUGCUGCAUGGAUCCCAUUAAAGCCUGGGAACACUCCAAGAGGAGAAUGCUGUGCUUUCUUCUGAAAGAGACUCCAUUUUCUAGUUUUACUUUGAACGGGUAUUUUGAGGGGGACAGGAAAAAGCAGCUAAAAACCCCAAAUUUAGUUGCUUAGGACUGCAGGAGCAUUUCAGCACAAGGUAUUUACUGUUAUGCACCAGUGGCGGAACUGAUAGGGUAGGAGGCAGGGAGGCAAACAGUAGGUGGCGCCAGAGAUAUUGGCAGGCAGAGCCAAAUAAUUCUAGUUUUGUCGCCAUCCUCCUGCCUGCCGAGGUCUACAAGGGCUUUACUGAGAUGGAGGAGGAAGCUGACAGGCAGAUCCACCUACAACUGAGACCUGCAAUCCACUCCAGCGACUUUGCUGCUAGUGAAGGUCUGUUGAGUGUGGUUCUCAAGCCACACUUGCAAAAAUGCUGCAAAAAUGUGGGGCUUUCAGGUAUUUGCUGGGGUCCUCAGUAAGAAGAUAGUGGUGGACAAUGGUGGAAAGUUUACCCUGACAGACAGCUUAUCCAACGCUAGCUGUUGUCCUCCAAAAUUUGCAGCAGCAGGGGCUAGGUAUUCUCCAGGGCAGCGCUGGGGGAAGUUUAUCUACAUACCCUUAGGGAUAGCCUUCCAGGGUCUUUGUGCAAGCAGAGGGCAGGGCCAAAGCAAACACACACAAACAAACAUAUAUAGAGGGGGCUACCCCCACCCUUAAAGAAGGACACUCCCCACUUUCGCACACAUUUAUAUGCGCAGGCACUCCCCUCCCUGCGACAAGGCAACAGGAAGAACCAUCGUUUUUGUUGUCGUUCAAACAUCACAGGUCCAUUGUGCAGCCAAGGAAAGAGUCCCGCAAUUCAGAUCCAAAACGUUUUGCAAGCCACAGGUGGACCGUGCUCUAAAUGUUCCCCAGGGCUGCUCUAAGGUGCACUCAUGGUUCACUCCCAGAGCAAUGGCGAGGUCCAACAGACCUCUGAGCGGAUGCACAGAGCACUUCCCACAAUCCCUUGCAAUGCCCAGGGAUUCUUUGGCCAACAAGCAAGGGGUUCCUAGGCAGCGGGUGUGGAAAGGCUUCCCUGAAGCCCUGCACUCGAAUUUCUUUGCCUCUUGUGCCCUUUAGCCUCAUCGGAGGGGGUGAGUCUAUGGCUGGGUGGUGGACCCGAUCUGCGUCCUACUCCGGAUGAAAACAUGCUGUUGCUGUUUUCCUAGUAGCUUGUGUCAUAACUAAGGCUGUGCAUGCAUUAUUGGCUGAAAGCACAGUGUGAUUCUCCACACCCCGAAAAACCCAAAACUGCAUUUCCAGUCACAUUUGCACCCUGCUGUACACAUCAGUGCGCCUAGGUGUGCUUCCAAGUCACCUGCUGUCUGUCCACACCAGUGGCUUACAUUUUCAAAUCAGAUUGAAACUGGUUUGUGGGGGAAAUGUAUCAAAAUGCAGAAUUAUCAAGAAACUGUGGGGUAGAUGAGGAUUGUGGCUAACUGCUAGCUUUGUGGGUGAAAGAGAAGCUUUUAAUGUUUGAUGUUUUACUGUGUUUGGUGUUUUCAUUUGUGGCUGGGGCAACGCAGUCAAAUGGGAAUAAUAAUAAUAAUAAUAAUAAUAAUAAUAAUAAUAAUAAUAAUGUGUGUACACUCCAAAACAGCAGUAGGAGUGCCCUAGAUUUUGGGCACACAGUUUAAAUAAUGGGUUGGAAGAUGUAUAGUUUUACCUCAAUAAUCAAUCUGACAAACUGGUUUAACAGAAUUGACUUUGUUUCAGAGAAUGAAAGACCCCUCAUUUUGAGGGGUGCUAAAUAAUUUUCAGCAUUCUUACCAAACUUUCUGUGGCAAGGAAGAGAUUUUGCCGCAUAGACAGCCCCCCUGAAAUAAAUAUAUCUACCUCACUAAGUUUCUGGGAGAGCAAAAGACCAAAAAUACAGUUUUUUUCCUCUCCACACAAAUUUCCAAGAAGUGCAAAAUUAUUUUCCACCAAGUGAUCCUCAGCAUGUUUACCUAGAGGUAAAUCCUGCCAAGUCCCACAGGACCUACUUUCUAGUACGUUAGCUUAGGGUUGUAACCUUAAGGUGCUGAAUAAUUUUUUAAUAACAAAUCCAGGAUACCCAGUCAAGAGGCGGAUAAUCUUCAACAAAAUGCUUCGUUUUAUAGCAUGUCCAAAUCGAUUUUUCACAUACAGAUGUCUGCCUAUUUUUCUGCUUCAAAAGCCCCAUUAAACUCAGCCUGUAGCUUAGACAGCCGAAUGAGUAUUAAACUAUCAAAGUCAUUAUAUUUUGGCAUCCGCCCCUCUUCUCUCCAGCAGAAAACGUCGGGUAUGAAUUAUGACACUAGCUGUUUUCCUUUAUUUGAACAGUGGAAAAUUGCUCCACAUUCACCCUUUCGUCAACAUUUUGUUUCUUGCUCAUUGCCAAUAUGAGAUAUAAAUGAGGAAAUGCAUUUAUUCCGCUUUCCCUAGAGAUCUUUUCCAUUUCUUUUUUUAUGUUUAAAAAGCAGCGACACAGGGACCCGUUUAGCGUCAUGCCUCCAGUCGGUGACAGUCAAUCUAUCAAUCAGCUAUCUUUUAAACGAGGCUGUCUUGGCAGAGAGGAAAGAAAGGGAG